Molecule: ribosomal RNA, 182 nt
Filed under: Seirophora lacunosa
Lineage: Eukaryota; Fungi; Ascomycota; Lecanoromycetes; Teloschistales; Teloschistaceae
Description: partial 18S ribosomal RNA
Source: RNAcentral
CCUCUNGCNGGCGCUCGCGAGCCCUUUUCGGGGGCCNGCGCCAGNGGGUGAGCCCCGNGGCCCGCCAAAGCAACAGUGGAAAANACACAAAGGGUGGAAAGGUGCNGGGGCGAACCCCNNGGGCGCGAGGCCCCCCUCUCAAUAAUGAUCCUUCCGUAGGUGAACCUGCGGAAGGAUCAUUA